GAAUAUUGCGCAAUGGGCGAAAGCCUGACGCAGCAACGCCGCGUGCGGGAAGAAGGGCUUCGGCUCGUAAACCGCUUUUCUGCGGGAAGAGAACGGACGGUACCGCAGGAAUAAGUCUCGGCUAACUACGUGCCAGCCGCCGCGGUAAAACGUAGGAGGCAAACGUUAUCCGGAUUUACUGGGCGUAAAGCGCGUGCAGGUGGUUAGCUAAGUCGUGCGUGAAAGCUCCCUGGCUCAACCGGGAGAGGUCGUGCGAUACUGGCUAACUUGAGACAGAGAGAGGCAAGUAGAAUUCCGGGUGUAGUGGUGAAAUGCGUAGAUAUCCGGAGGAAUACCAGUGGCGAAGGCGGCUUGCUGGCUCUGUUCUGACACUCAGACGCGAAAGCAUGGGGAGCGAACGGG
Molecule: ribosomal RNA, 402 nt
Filed under: uncultured bacterium
Lineage: Bacteria
Description: bacterial SSU rRNA
Rfam family: Bacterial small subunit ribosomal RNA
Source: RNAcentral